RNAcentral lists this ribosomal RNA (437 nucleotides) under uncultured bacterium. RNAcentral's name for it is "partial 16S ribosomal RNA". It matches the Rfam family "Bacterial small subunit ribosomal RNA", at positions 29 to 507 of the family's 1533-position model. The record is from RNAcentral.
AGCGAACGCUGGCGGCAGGCUUAACACAUGCAAGUCGAGCGGGCAUCCUUGUGGUGUCAGCGGCAGACGGGUGAGUAACGCGUGGGAACGUGCCCUUCGGUUCGGAAUAACUCAGGGAAACUUGAGCUAAUACCGGAUACGUGCGAGAGCAGAAAGGUUUAUCUGCCGAAGGAUCGGCCCGCGUCUGAUUAGCUAGUUGGUGAGGUUACGGCUCACCAAGGCGACGAUCAGUAGCUGGUCUGAGAGGAUGAUCAGCCACACUGGGACUGAGACACGGUCCAGACUCCUACGGGAGGCAGCAGUGGGGAAUAUUGGACAAUGGGGGCAACCCUGAUCCAGCCAUGCCGCGUGAGUGAUGACGGCCUUAGGGUUGUAAAGCUCUUUUCUCCGGGACGAUAAUGACGGUACCGGAGGAAUAAGCCCCGGCUAACUUCGUG